This 492-nucleotide ribosomal RNA is filed under the name uncultured bacterium. RNAcentral describes it as "partial 16S ribosomal RNA". It matches the Rfam family "Bacterial small subunit ribosomal RNA", at positions 29 to 507 of the family's 1533-position model. The record is from RNAcentral.
AGUGAACGCUGGCGGUAGGCCUAACACAUGCAAGUCGAACGGCAGCACAGUAAGAGCUUGCUCUUACGGGUGGCGAGUGGCGGACGGGUGAGGAAUACAUCGGAAUCUACUUUUUCGUGGGGGAUAACGUAGGGAAACUUACGCUAAUACAGCAUACGACCUACGGGUGAAAGCAGGGGAUCUUCGGACCUUGCGCGAUUGAAUGAGCCGAUGUCGGAUUAGCUAGUUGGCGGGGUAAAGGCCCACCAAGGCGACGAUCCGUAGCUGGUCUGUGUGGAUGAUCAGCCACACUGGAACUGAGACACGGUCCAUACUCCUACGGGAGGCAGCAGUGGGGAAUAUUGGACAAUGGGCGCAAGCCUGAUCCAGCCAUACCGCGUGGGUGAAGAAGGCCUUCGGGUUGUAAAGCCCUUUUGUUGGUAAAGAAAAGCAGCAGGUUAAUACCCCGCUGUUCUGACGGUACCCAAAGAAUAAGCACCGGCUAACUUCGUG